AGAGUUUGAUCAUGGCUCAGAGUGAACGCUGGCGGCGUGCUUAACACAUGCAAGUCGAACGAGAACGGGCCUUAGCUUGCUAAGGCUGUCAGCUAAGUGGCGGACGGGUGAGUAAUGUAUAGUUAAUCUGCCCUUUAGAGGGGGAUAACAGUUGGAAACGACUGCUAAUACCCCAUACUCCUUCUAUGUUAAUCAUAGUUGGGAAAUGUUUUUUCGCUAAAGGAUGAGACUAUAUGGUAUCAGGUAGUUGGUGGGGUAAGAGCCUACCAAGCCAAUGACGCCUAGCUGGUCUGAGAGGAUGAUCAGCCACACUGGAACUGAGACACGGUCCAGACUCCUACGGGAGGCAGCAGUGGGGAAUAUUGCACAAUGGAGGAAACUCUGAUGCAGCAACGCCGCGUGGAGGAUGACGCAUUUCGGUGUGUAAACUCCUUUUAUAUGGGAAGAUAAUGACGGUACCAUAUGAAUAAGCACCGGCUAACUCCGUGCCAGCAGCCGCGGUAAUACGGAGGGUGCAAGCGUUACUCGGAAUCACUGGGCGUAAAGCGCGCGCAGGCGGCCUUGUAAGUUGGAUGUGAAAGCCUACGGCUCAACCGUAGAACUGCAUCCAAAACUACUAGGCUAGAGUGUGGGAGAGGAAGAUGGAAUUAGUUGUGUAGGGGUAAAAUCCGUAGAGAUAACUAGGAAUACCAAAAGCGAAGGCAAUCUUCUGGAACAUUACUGACGCUGAGGCGCGAAAGCGUGGGGGAGCAAACAGGAUUAGAUACCCUGGUAGUCCACGCCCUAAACGAUGAAUGUUAGUCGUCGGGUAGCUAGUCUAUUCGGUGAUGCAGCUAACGCAUUAAACAUUCCGCCUGGGGAGUACGGUCGCAAGAUUAAAACUCAAAGGAAUAGACGGGGACCCGCACAAGUGGUGGAGCAUGUGGUUUAAUUCGAAGAUACGCGAAGAACCUUACCUAGCCUUGACAUAUUUUUAGAACACUUUAGAGAUAG
RNAcentral lists this ribosomal RNA (993 nucleotides) under uncultured Sulfurovum sp. Its description in RNAcentral is "bacterial SSU rRNA". It matches the Rfam family "Bacterial small subunit ribosomal RNA", at positions 8 to 1009 of the family's 1533-position model. Lineage: Bacteria; Pseudomonadati; Campylobacterota; Epsilonproteobacteria; Campylobacterales; Sulfurovaceae. The record is from RNAcentral.